UCUGAACUGAACCGUCAAAGCUCUGGAAAAAUUGAUUUCUACGCAUUUCUUUCCACUUCCUGACCUAAAAUGAAUCAAAAUUCCUUUUUCUUCUGCGUUUCACUUUCGUUUCUCAUUUGUUCCAUAUUCAAACCCAAAUCGAUUUCAUCUGAAACAUGUGAGAAAUUGUCGAGAUUGAAAUCAUCCUUAGCCCUUCUUUCUGUUACCCAUCAUCCCAAAGCCGGAAGCUGGAAAAUUGAUUGGGUUAAAUUAGGGUUCAAGAUGUGUGAAACAUUUAGAGGGGGUGGAGUUCAAGAUGUGUGAAACUAUCUAUUUUAUUAUGCAAGUGUUUCAACAUGAUUACUGAUACAUCACUGGAUAUAGAAGCUAAACUUAUGACAAGUUGGGAAUUUGACAAAAUUGCUCAAGUUGAAAGUUGUAUAUCUUCAUGGUUCUCAAUAACACUCUCCAAACAGUUACUUUUGAAAAGGCAUCUGGAUUCUGCCUCAGGUGGUAACAUAGAUUCCUAUCAUUGCUUUCAUGUCAAUGUACAUAUUACAUCUAAAUUUAGGAUAGCCUUUGAAAGAAGCAUCUAAAUUUAGGAUAGCCUUUAUACAUAUUACAUCUAAAUUACCUACAUGUUAUUUUCUUCAAUGUAUUGCUACUACUUGUGUCUUUUAUCUUCACAGGGGCCAAAAAUUUCUUAGAUUUGGAUGGGUACCAAAUUUCAAGAGGACAACACAAGUGACGAUGAUGACGUAUGUGAUGAACUUCAAAAGGAUAGAUAACAUAGGUGAUGAAGCGGAUGAUGGAGAUGGAGAUGAGUUCGGCGAACUUAAAUUAGCGGGAUGAUGUUGUUUUAGGCUUAGUAUUAAACUUAUAGUAUUAAGUAAUUAGAUAUUUUGUGUCUAUUGUAUGUAUGAGUUAAUAUUAGAAGAUUUUAUUAACACGACUUUUGUUCGAAUUGUUUAUAUAAUG
Molecule: long non-coding RNA, 957 nt
Organism: Vicia villosa (hairy vetch)
Lineage: Eukaryota; Viridiplantae; Streptophyta; Magnoliopsida; Fabales; Fabaceae
Exons: 4
Source: RefSeq, a predicted model, not a curated record